UGAACAGUGGCUGAUCGAAAAGCCCUGGGCACUAGUGUUUCUCCAAGAUUAAGUUUACAUGAAGUAUGUUUUUUAAUGUUAUUGUCAUGCGAGAACAUACAUACGUAACACAAAAUGCGGUUGUACAUCACUUGCCUUCCGUAAGGGAUUGGUCGAGGAAAUUCUAACAGACAGAUCAGAAGGUAAAGUAACAUCUCAUGGGCGGCUUCUGCAUUUCAUCCAAAAGUAGUGAUCCAAGUGUCCUUGCCCGUGUCUAUUUGAAAGGAGAACUGGUAUCAUUAUGUGAAGCAUACAAAGUCCGCUUCAGACAAAGUGAAAUCAAAAAGGUGUUGGCUACAAAACUCAUUGAAGGCAUAAGAAGCAAUAGGACAAUGCCAUUCAUUGCGUCUGUUGAUGACCGACAGUUCCGGGUAGUAGAAACAGUUGCUGAUGAGUCCCUUAGUAGUGUGAGGAUCAGGUUCAGACUAUCAGGAGUAACAGAGACAGACUCUUCAAACUGAAGACUAACAUAGCAUACCUUGUGCGCAAACUCAAGUAAAAUACCGAUGACAG
RNAcentral lists this long non-coding RNA (552 nucleotides) under Orbicella faveolata. Its description in RNAcentral is "uncharacterized LOC110057990, transcript variant X1". The record is from RNAcentral. Lineage: Eukaryota; Metazoa; Cnidaria; Anthozoa; Scleractinia; Merulinidae.